This 799-nucleotide ribosomal RNA is filed under the name uncultured marine bacterium. RNAcentral's name for it is "bacterial SSU rRNA". It matches the Rfam family "Bacterial small subunit ribosomal RNA", at positions 57 to 847 of the family's 1533-position model. The record is from RNAcentral.
GCAAGUCGAGGGGCACAUAAAUUACUUGUAAUUUGAUGGCGACCGGCGAACGGGUGCGUAACGCGUAUGCAACUUACCUUUUACUAGAGAAUAGCCAAGAGAAAUUUUGAUUAAUGCUCUAUACACUUACUAACUUUCAUGAGUUUGUAAGAAAAGCUCCGGCGGUAAAAGAUGGGCAUGCGUCCUAUUAGCUUGUAGGUGAGGUAACGGCUCACCUAAGCUCCGAUAGGUAGGGGUCCUGAGAGGGAGACCCCCCACACUGGUACUGAGACACGGACCAGACUUCUACGGAAGGCAGCAGUAAGGAAUAUUGGACAAUGGAGGAAACUCUGAUCCAGCCAUGCCGCGUGAAGGAUGACGGCCUUAUGGGUUGUAAACUUCUUUUAUACAGGAAUAAACCUAUCCACGUGUGGAUAGCUGAAGGUACUGUAAGAAUAAGGAUCGGCUAACUCCGUGCCAGCAGCCGCGGUAAUACGGAGGAUCCAAGCGUUAUCCGGAAUUAUUGGGUUUAAAGGGUCCGCAGGCUGUUUGUUAAGUCAGAGGUGAAAUCCUACCGCUCAACGGUAGAACUGCCUUUGAUACUGGCAAACUUGAGUUAUUGUGAAGUAGUUAGAAUGUGUAGUGUAGCGGUGAAAUGCAUAGAUAUUACACAGAAUACCGAUUGCGAAAGCAGAUUACUAACAAUUAACUGACGCUGAGGGACGAAAGCGUGGGUAGCGAGCAGGAUUAGAUACCCUGGUAGUCCACGCCGUAAACGAUGGUCACUAGCUGUUCGAUGUACAUUGGUACAUUGAGUGGC